This 450-nucleotide ribosomal RNA is filed under the name uncultured bacterium. RNAcentral describes it as "bacterial SSU rRNA". It matches the Rfam family "Bacterial small subunit ribosomal RNA", at positions 354 to 796 of the family's 1533-position model. The record is from RNAcentral.
GUAGGGAAUAUUGGACAAUGGGGGAAACCCUGAUCCAGCAAUGCCGCGUGUGUGAAGAAGGCCUGCGGGUUGUAAAGCACUUUUAGUUGGGAAGAAAAGCUAACAGCUAAUAUCUGUUAGUCUUGACAUUACCGACAGAAAAAGCACCGGCUAACUCUGUGCCAGCAGCCGCGGUAAUACAGAGGGUGCGAGCGUUAAUCGGAAUUACUGGGCGUAAAGCGUGUGUAGGCGGUUUUGUAAGUCGGAUGUGAAAUCCCUGGGCUUAACCUGGGAACUGCAUUCGAUACUGCGAAGCUAGAGUAUGGUAGAGGGAAGUGGAAUUCCGGGUGUAGCGGUGAAAUGCGUAGAUAUCCGGAGGAACAUCAGUGGCGAAGGCGGCUUCCUGGGCCAAUACUGACGCUGAGGCACGAAAGCGUGGGGAGCAAACAGGAUUAGAAACCCGUGUAGUCC